RNAcentral lists this ribosomal RNA (491 nucleotides) under uncultured bacterium. RNAcentral describes it as "partial 16S ribosomal RNA". It matches the Rfam family "Bacterial small subunit ribosomal RNA", at positions 29 to 507 of the family's 1533-position model. The record is from RNAcentral.
GUGAACGCUGGCGGUAGGCCUAACACAUGCAAGUCGAACGGCAGCACAGUAAGAGCUUGCUCUUACGGGUGGCGAGUGGCGGACGGGUGAGGAAUACAUCGGAAUCUACUUUUUCGUGGGGGAUAACGUAGGGAAACUUACGCUAAUACCGCAUACGACCUACGGGUGAAAGCAGGGGAUCUUCGGACCUUGCGCGAUUGAAUGAGCCGAUGUCGGAUUAGCUAGUUGGCGGGGUAAAGGCCCACCAAGGCGACGAUCCGUAGCUGGUCUGAGAGGAUGAUCAGCCACACUGGAACUGAGACACGGUCCAGACUCCUACGGGAGGCAGCAGUGGAGAAUAUUGGACAAUGGGCGCAAGCCUGAUCCAGCCAUACCGCGUGGGUGAAGAAGGCCUUCGGGUUGUAAAGCCCUUUUGUUGGGAAAGAAAAGCAGCAGGUUAAUACCCCGCUGUUCUGACGGUACCCAAAGAAUAAGCACCGGCUAACUUCGUG